CGUGCAGGUGAUCCUGGGGAGGCCGGAGAACGCGCCGGGGGUGCCAGGGUCCCGCACACUGGAGUGGCGGCGCCUCCCCGUGGUGUCCCCGCUCCUGGGUCCUUUUUGGGACUGGCUCUGGCACUCCCGGGCACUCAGUCCAGUAGAGAAGUCCAGCAGGAGGCUUCCAGGUCGGACUCCUCCGCGGGGUAAAGAGAGGGAAAGGGCCUCACAAACACACCCAGGAGCAUCUGGCGAUGGAGGAUGAGAAGACAAGAGAAUGACGGGGGCAGGGUCAGGGGUCUAAUCUCCUUGCGAGCCACCUGAUCUCCCCGGGCCUCUGUUUUCUCAUCUGUGAAAUGACGGGUUGGACGGCCUUGUCUCUGAGGCCUCAUCCAGUUCCACGUACAGGAAGAUAUAAAUGCAAAUGUGCAAAAAAAGGAAGAAGGAAAGAUGGACCAAGUUCACCUGUUUGCUGAGUUUUAGUUCUCGAAGGCAAUGGAACUGUUGCUAUCCACUUCUGCCUCUUAGUACCUUAAACCUCAGAGAUGCUCACUGGAACACUUUUUACAUGGAUUUGUCUUUGGUUUCAUCAGGUCAAAUCAGCUGCUACUCUACACGACCGUGUCUGCAGUACAGGCGUGGUGAGAAGACCUAUACCUCACUCGGCAGAGUCUCACCUAUGCUGUUCGCAGCAACGCAUCGGCCGCAGGCACAGAGCGCCAUGGCCAGAGCCCACCAGGGCAGCCGCCUCGCACCACAACCAAGGGCCUCACAGCGCGCAAUCAAAGAUGGAAAAGCAGAAGCUCAGAAAAUGGAGGCUAAGUAACUUGUUCAAGAUCACAGAGCAAGCAGAUGCCACAGCUGGAAUCUGAACCCAGAUAACCUAGAAUUGGUCCUGUUAUAAUUGAAGUUCCACUCCACCAGGAAUUUGUCAGCAAGAGACAGAUAGAAAUAAACAACAAAAACCAGCCUACAAAACAUAUGAAAACAACAGGUUUUAAAGAAUAACUGAAGUUGAGAUAUAUAAGACUGAUGC
Molecule: long non-coding RNA, 1018 nt
Organism: Homo sapiens (human)
Lineage: Eukaryota; Metazoa; Chordata; Mammalia; Primates; Hominidae
Gene: NCMAP-DT
Product: NCMAP divergent transcript
Source: Ensembl